CCUACGGGUGGCAGCAGUGGGGGAUAUUGCACAAUGGGGGGAACCCUGAUGCAGCGACGCCGCGUGGGUGAAGAAGUAUCUCGGUACGUAAAGCCCUGUCAGCAGGGAAGAAAAUGACGGUACCUGACGAAGAAGCCCCGGCUCACUACGUGCCAGCAGCCGCGGUAAUACGUAGGGGGCAAGCGUUAUCCGGAUUUACUGGGUGUAAAGGGGGCGUAGACGGCGGGUCAAGCCUGGAGUGAAAGCCCGGGGCUUAACCCCGGGACUGCUUUUGAAACUGUGCGGCUGGAGUGCAGGAGGGGUAGGCGGAAUUCCUGGUGUAGCGGUGAAAUGCGUAGAUAUCAGGAGGAACACCGGUGGCGAAGGCGGCUUACUGGACUGAAACUGACGUUGAGGCCCGAAAGCGUGGGGAGCAAACAGGAUUAGAUACCCGUGUAGUC
This 440-nucleotide ribosomal RNA is filed under the name uncultured bacterium. Its description in RNAcentral is "partial 16S ribosomal RNA". It matches the Rfam family "Bacterial small subunit ribosomal RNA", at positions 338 to 795 of the family's 1533-position model. The record is from RNAcentral.